RNAcentral lists this ribosomal RNA (531 nucleotides) under Nakazawaea ernobii. RNAcentral describes it as "eukaryotic LSU rRNA". It matches the Rfam family "Eukaryotic large subunit ribosomal RNA", at positions 100 to 646 of the family's 3401-position model. Lineage: Eukaryota; Fungi; Ascomycota; Pichiomycetes; Alaninales; Pachysolenaceae. The record is from RNAcentral.
UCAAUAAGCUGUGUAGCAUCUAGGCACCUCUUGCACUGUUCGAGUUGUAAUUUGAAGAAGGUAUCUUUGGAGUUGGCCCCCGUCUAUGUUCCUUGGAACAGGACGUCACAGAGGGUGAGAAUCCCGUGCGAUGGGGAGACCAAUUCUAUGUAAAGUUCCUUCGAAGAGUCGAGUUGUUUGGGAAUGCAGCUCUAAGUGGGUGGUAAAUUCCAUCUAAAGCUAAAUAUUGGCGAGAGACCGAUAGCGAACAAGUACAGUGAUGGAAAGAUGAAAAGAACUUUGAAAAGAGAGUGAAAAAGUACGUGAAAUUGUUGAAAGGGAAGGGCUUUUGAUCAGACUUGGUGUUUAGUACUCUCUACUCCUUGUGGGUGGGGCUCUUGCUUUAUACUGGGCCAGCAUCGGUUUGGAUGGUAGGAUAAUAGCAUUGGAAUGUGGCUUCAUUCGUGAAGUGUUAUAGCCCUUGUUGAUACUACCUAUCUAGACCGAGGACUGCGUCUUUUGACUAGGAUGCUGGCGUAAUGAUUAAAAGCC